AGUUUUCAUUAAAAAAGUUGUCAUAAAAGAAAGAUCUACUUUCUCAUUUCCUAUCUUUCCAGAUGACCACCUCCUCACGUGUUACCACCGUGGUGUCAUCUCCUGUGAACUUUCGCCAGAGAUGAGCCAAGACAAAUGCAGUGUCCUUCAAUUUCUACAACUGAAAUGGAGCCUGGGGAUAUUAUCUGCUACCAAGGAGACCAUGGCUGACUGGACACUGCCUUCUUCUAGUCUAGGGGAGAUCAUUCUCUGAGGUUGCCUUACUCCAGUGGACUAGGGAGAUGGAUGCUGGGUUUUACAUAUUGAGCUGUUUCCAGCUCUGAUUUGAAUCCUCCCUCGGCAGUGGACCACUUUCUGGCUGCAGCCUUCACUCCAUAGGCACAGGGGCCUGGACAAGUCGUUAACCAC
Molecule: long non-coding RNA, 408 nt
Filed under: Fukomys damarensis (Damara mole-rat)
Lineage: Eukaryota; Metazoa; Chordata; Mammalia; Rodentia; Bathyergidae
Description: lncRNA (ENSFDAG00000025698.1)
Source: RNAcentral